UAUAAACAUUAACUAUAACAGAUAAACAACUCCCUACAGUUCAUGAUCGUCAUGCAAAAUAGCCUCAACCAGGGAAUAUGUAUGCACAAAGUCGUAUGCGUUUCUUUUUUUUUUUAACAUUUAUUUUUUGAGAGACAGAGCAUGAGCGGGGAGGGGACAGAGAGAGAGGGAGUCACAGAUUCCAAAGCAGGCUCCAGGCUCUGAGCUUGAUGUCAGCACAGAGCCCGACACGGGGCUCAAACUCACAAACUGUGAGAUCAUGACCUGAGCCGAAGUUGGACUCUUAACCGACUGAGCCACCCAGGUGCCCCAGUCGUAUGCGUUUCUUCCCAGACUUUAGCUGAGUUUAAAAAGCCAACAACAGAGGUAGAAGCCGCCUCACAGUUAGAUAAACGGAAAAGAUGAGAGGAAGGGAAGGGAAGGCUAGAGAAUAAAUCUGCCUAAAACUAAGCGGGUGCGGGAGGGUACAGGGGGACAGGGGUGGGGGUGCAGGGGGUAGAGCACAUUAGAAAGAAGAGAAAGGCCAGAAGCAAGAGAACUGGGCAUCACAGAAGAGCCAGGACAAACUCUGGAGAUUACAAAAACAAAAAAACCACAACAAACUAUGAACAAACUCACCUAUCAACGCCUCCCAGAAGAGAGCACAAAUCGGCGCUGAGCGUGGAGGGCAGCAUGUCAUAGCGCCGGUCUGCUAAAUAGUAAGUGGUGGCCCUGUGAACGACACACGUGUGGGUGCGUGACCUUCAGCAGCGAGAGGCAGAAGUGCUGACUGCAGGGGCCACGGGGAGGGAAAUGGCCAAAUCCUCAGUGCAAAUCCCCCAAGGCUUGCUUUUUCAUAAAGUGCAGCCGACUGGGUAAUAAAGCUAUUCCCAUGCCCCCACUUUUCUAAGGGGUACUGCCUCGGGCUGAAUGUUCUUCCACUGAUAGGAAAAGGAAAAAGUGGCAUGAAUCUUACUUAUCUAAGAAGAAUUGGAGUGUAAUGAUCCAGUAGAUCAUAUAAAAAGGUAUUCCUACCUGAAACAUUUAGCUCAUUGCAAUUUAGGAGGAAAGUGUGUGAAAGGUUCUGUUGAAAAAAAGGAAAGGUAAAUGGAUCAAGGUACUAUUUCUCUAAAGGGAAAGGGGAGUGGACCUCAAUUUUUCUCCCCCUACGAGGGAUCUGCAGAAUUGCACAGAAUUGUGAAAUGUUCGUUUUGAAAAUCUGGGAGUGGAGAGGUACGAAUAUGUUACAGCCACACACACAUAAUCAUAGUGUUCAUUUCAAACAGCAUUACCUUGUUCUGGCUUCGAUGUCAAUAUACGAAUUUGGUGCCACAAAGUGUGUCACAUCUGCAAUGUGGACCCCAAGUUCCAAGUGGCCAUUAUCUAAGGUUCUGACGGAGAGUGUGUCAUCCACAUCUUCACAGCCUUUCGGGUCAAUGCUGAAUACAAGAUGGGUUUUCCUCAAGUCUUGACGUUCUCGUUCCUCUUCAGGACUCACCUUCCAGGGAUUUCCUGGUGUGUUUACUGGCAUCUCACACAUCUGUCCAACAAGAGUCAGAUAUUCGGCAGUUCACACACCCCGAGUUUCCUAGGAGAUUCUGGGCUCUCGAAGAGUCUCACUGCCACCUCCUAGAAGUCCCAUUCAUUCCCUAUUACCUUUUGCAAUUAACCUGCAUUCGCUUCUUUGGAUCAAGAAUUAUUUAUCAGGUGCCUGAUGUGUGUCAGGAACUGUGCGAGGCUCUGGAAAGGGCAGGAGCCAAGAAGAAAGACACAGUCUCCUGCCCCUGCGGACCCUUACAGUCUGUCAGGAAAUGUGCCUGUUUCCGGCAGCUUCUUUAGUUAUGGAGGUCAGAUCGAGGAUAAACAGAGGCUUAUCAAGAGCACAACCUCUACCCAUUUUCAGAUGAUUCAUUUGUUUAAAUGCAGUUGAGCUUUUAAUUCAAUUCAAGCCCUGAAAAAAAAGAAUCAACGUGUCCCAAAUACUAAAAGCCUAUUCCUUAAAGAUAAUUUAAGCAGGACCAAUCUAGGGCAUUGUCUCUCCAUUAUUACUUGUUUAGGCCAUCAAUUUGCAGUUAAGUAGGCUAAAUGAGAAGAGAAAAUUCUAGUCCCAUGAAGUCUAACCCAUGCUUUAUUUUAUUCUAACAUUUUCACUAAGAGCUGUCAAAGCAAGUCAACAAAUAAUUUCAAGAAACUAAUGUUAAACAUAAAAAUUUAAUAAUGUAAAAUAUUCCAAGAUAUUUUACUAUUAUAGCUACUGUUCUGUCAAAAACUGUAAUGAAAAUAAGAACACCCAUCCACUCUUGAUGGCAAUGCAAACUGGUCCAAUUUUUCUCGAGAACGAUCUACUGAUACAUAAGAAAAGCCACUUAAAUUUUUAAUGCCCUUUGACUUGAUAAUCUUACUUUAAGGAUUACGUCUCAAGAAAAAUGAUGAAAAAGAAAAAAAAAAGAGCAAUGUUGGUAAAAUUGUUUGAAGUAGAGUUUUUUUUUUUUAUACUACUGAAAAAUUAAACAGCCCAAGGCCCAGCAAUUGAGGAAGACUUAAACAAACCAGAGUACAUCAAUACACAAUCAAGUGCCAUAACCUUUACUAAGAAGUAGCUAUGGCAAUACACAGAAAUAAUUUUAAGUGAAAGACACAGAACAGAAAAUAGCAUGGACACACUAUGAAUAUAGUUAUGCAAAAAUAAUAAACAAGAUUUAUGAGGAUUUUAUGAGAUCAUAAAGUGAUGGAAAUAGCUAAUGUUUAAUGUUUAUUGAAUUUGUGUUUUCUGCCAAGGUUACAGAAACUGUUUCAGGAGCAUGCUUUUUUGACCCACGGGUCAGAAAUGUAUAGAACACAAGAAGCCGCCUCCCGCAGCUCUGUGCAGGUCUCUGGUUGAAUGAUUAGGACAGGCAGUGGAGCCCAGUAGGAUCUGUAACUGGGGACCCUCGUGACUGCUGGGGAUAGAUACAUACUGACAAUAUGAUACUGACAUACCAUUUUUAAGCACAGUUGGAAAAUGUAAAACUUUGAGAGCUGUGAGGCCCUAGGAAAUGAACUAUGCGCUUGAAACUGACUUCAGUCUGGUCCAAACACAGAAUACAGAAGAGUGAGAUUAUUAUCUGUGGCUUUCGUGAGUGGUUACCCAGUACAGCGAUUUUUCUUCUUAAUGACCAAACAACGAACGAAUGCAAAAAGAAACUGUAUGGAAUGUCUUUCACCAGACCAAAGGACUCGGGGAAACCUGACCUGAGCUUCGGAGAAAGGGACCACCGAAAUACUGUUUUCCACCAAGAUGGUUGCAAUUUCCCCUUCCAGAUCCCCGAUUCUUCCUAACACACGCACAAAAUGUCCAUUUGGAUACACGGAUGUUGACUCCCAGGAGUCGAUGCGCACAACUACCCUGAAGUCCUGCAUGAAAAAGAGAAAAAAAAUCCACUAGCCCAGCAGCGGGAAUUAAGUGGGUCAAUGAGAAGCACCAAACAAACAAGAGAUAAACAGCACCCAGCUCCAAAAAGAGUGGCCGAUUUAACAGUGGGUUUUGUGUUUUGUUUUCCUUCUUGCUGUUUUACUAAAUUGCCAGAUGGUUAUGUAAAUGCCUGGCCCGAUGCUUUGGAGGAAGGCAAUACCUCUCUCCAUCAAAUAAGUAGGCUGGAAAUUUUAUUCUGUUAAUGAAAGCCAAUUGUGGGGUGCCUGGGUGGCUCAGACACGAGUCUGACUCUUGGUUUUGACUUAGGUCAUGAUCUCACAGUUCGUCGGAUCGAGCCCCAUGUUGGGCUCUGCACUGGCAGUGAGGAGCCUGCUUGGGAUUCUCUCUCUCUGCCCCUCCCCUGCUCUCAUGCAGGCUCUCUCAAAAUAUAAUAAAUAAACUUUAAUUUUUUUUUCAACGUUUUUUAUUUAUUUUUGGGACAGAGAGAGACAGAGCAUGAACGGGGGGGGGGCAGAGAGAGAGGGAGACACAGAAUCGGAAACAGGCUCCAGGCUCCGAGCCAUCAGCCCAGAGCCUGACGCGGGGCUCGAACUCACGGACCGCGAGAUCGUGACCUGGCUGAAGUCGGACGCUGAACCGACUGCGCCACCCAGGUGCCCCAAUAAAUAAACUUUAAAAAAAAAAAAAGAAAGCCAAUUGUAACACAUUCUAGUCAACAUUCACAACACAGAGGAAAACCUCACUGUGCAUAGUGCAAAUUCAAUUUCAAAACAAAAUCUCAAUUGUGGGAGCAUGGGAGAUACAUCCUACUUUCUUUGAAGUUACUCUCUAAUGUUUAAAGACAUCCGUUAGUGGGGAAGGAGGUAUCAGCGUGAACUGAACCCCACAAGCUCCCAAAUUUCAGCAAACCCACGGGUCUGGAAAGCAGUGGUUACGCUUGGCCUCAGCCCGCGGAAGGCUUUAAGAGAUGCAAAAGGUAUACGACGACCCAGUUACUGGUUGGGGACGUCCUGCUUCGGUGUCUCAUUUACAAACUGCACAUAUCAAAUUGCAGAUAUCAAAUUGGAUGAUGCCUAUACGCUUCGCCACAGUACAGGCUAAUUUCUAACUUUCUCGUGUAUGUCUUCUCCCCAGUGCUAUAUUCCUUUAUGGAUAAUCGAUUCGGUGAAGUAUCACUAUAUCAUCCCUCCAGGGCAGAGUGAUCGUAUUUCUAUAUCACUUGCUGGAAGAAAGCUUGUUAGUGUUGGCAAAGCAUAUCUAUUGAAAGUUUCUGUGUUGGACAGCUGGAUAAUGUAUGCACUCUGUAGCUGUCCUACACAGCUCUUUCUAGGGCAGUUUCUCUCUGGCCUUCAUUUAUUAACCAAGGACUAUUUAACAGAUGGUUCUAUAUAUUUAGAAUUAAAAAAAAAAACCUGGAUCUCGAAAUGCUAGACGCCACCAAUAAUUUAUCCCUUCUUAUGCAAAGGAAUUGACAGGGUUUCCUGGGAUAGCUCAAAAGCUGGCAAACACAAAAGCUGGGGAACAGGAGAAGUACAAUGUCAGCUACCUGGAGGGUUUCUGCUUGCUGAGUGCUAAUUCGGAUCUUGGGGAUUCUGUAAUCCCAAGGCGUAACUAGGAUUUUCUGAGCAUUUUUGCCCUGAGAUUGGACCUCUUCUUUGGAUGGAAAUGUCACCACGUAAUCCCGCCAGUUCUUCUGAAGGAUGCCCACCACUCUGCCUUUGGGAAAACAAAACAAAAGAAGGCCUUAACUGGUGAGAUGUCACCUAUCUAGGCGCUGACUAGCUCGGCAGUGAGGAAGAAAACAGAAAACACAAUGACCCGUUCGUAUCAAGCACACACCCACACAAGUCGAGAAAUGCUUAAACGUUCGCCUUAAGAUGCCUGCUAAUUUUUUUGAAAGAUCACUUUUUUUUAUAACAUUGUCAGGAUGCCCUCCCUACUGUGGGGUCCAAUGUGACAUUUAGAAUCCAUCAGUCCCACUUUCUCCUUUGCCCUUCCCUUAUCAACCUCAAGUUUAGGUAUGUUGGGAAAAGCCAGUAAUCUUCACUUUUUUCAACUCACGCCCUCUCCUGUGCGUUUUCCCUUUCUUGCAUUUUCCCACCAGCCAACAUCAUUUGGGCCAACCUUAUAUACAGAAAAGUAUUCUAAUCAUAAGCCUGAUACGUAGCACUUUCAAUCAUCAUGGACUACGGUCAAGAAAAAACAAAUUUUAAUAGUCAAAAGUGCUAUCUUUCCACAAAUAUUUAUUGAGCCCCUACCAGGUAUGAGGCCCUGUUCUAGGUGCAGGGAAUGUAGCAGCAUCAGAACAAAGUCCUUGAUUUUCUGCAGUGGACACUCUAGUCUGGGUGUCUGUGGGGGUGGGAAACAGACAAGAAGAAGUAAAUACAGGGAAGGGAAUGAUGUUUGCUCAGAAAGAUAUCAAGUAGGGUAAGGUGACCAACAGUAAUACAGGGUCAGCAGUGGCCACUAUUUUAAAUAAAGUGACAUCUGAGCAGAGACUUGAAGUGAGGGAGGUUGGCCUGAGGAGGUUUGGGGAAAGCUCAUUUCCAGUGGUACGAAGCUGGUCAAUGUGGCUGGAACAGAGUGAUGAUGAGGACAGUGACACAAGGCAGCCCAAGCUGGCAGGACCCUGUAGGCCACGGUAUGGCCUUUGGAUUUCAUUUUGAGAGAAACAGGAAAUGGCCACUGGAGAGCUUUGAGCAGAGACACACAGGCCCCAAAGACUUUUAAAAGGAUCUUUGUGGGGGUGCCUGGGUGGCUCAGUUGUUUAAGCAUCCGACUUCCGCUCAUGAUCUCAUGGUUCAUGGGUUCAAGCCCCGCGUCGGGCUGUGUGCUGACAGUUCAGAGCCUGGAGCCUGCUUUGGAUUCUGUGUCUCCCUCUCUCUCUGUCCCUUCCCCUCUCGCACUUUCUCUCUCACUCGCUCUCUCAAAAACAAACAUUAAAAAUAAUAAUAAUAAUAAUAAUAAUAAUAAUAAUAAAUAUUUAAGUAAAAGGAUCCCCGUGGCUGGCUCCUGUAUGGAGAAAAGGCCAUUUGAGCACCAGGGUGGGGGCAGGGAGACCAGUGAGGAGGCGGCUGGGAAAAUCGCGUCAAGCAGUUCUGGCGGCCCAGUUAGGGGAGAAGAGGUGGAGUCUGGGAGUAGAGCUGCCAGGACUUGCUGACGUGUGAAAGAAAAACUCGAGGGUAAUCCCAGGACCUCUGGGUUGACCAAGUGUAGAAUGAAACUGCCGUUUGCGGAGACGGGAACACUCGGGGAGGAGCAAGUUUGGGGGCAGAAAUCAGGAGUCUGUUACUAGGCGCGUUACAUGUGAGAUGCCCAUCGGACACCAGGGGAAGAUGCCAAACAGACAACACUGGAGGCUGAGAAGGGGGUCUGGUCUCUAGGCUGGAAAAAUAAAGCUAGAGGAGUGAAGGAGAUCCCCAGGGAGAGGGGGCGGAUGGAGAUUCAGCGAGGAGCCCAGAGGUCGUAAGACGGAAAAGCUCCAGCAAAAGGACCAAGGAGGAGUGGCCAGCAGGAGAGGAGAAGAACCUAGAAGCCAAGGAUGAGGCAGUGAUCUGUUGGCCAAAUGCUGCUGACGGUUACGGGUGCCGAGGGCUGUUGGCAAUGAGGUCACUGGUGUCCUUGACCAGAGGUCAAGGUUUUUUGGGGGGUGGGGGCCCCUGAAUGUAGCGGCUUCAGGAGAGAACGGGUGAAGAGGAAGCAGAGAGAACGCAGGACUAAGGGUUUCACUGAGUCUUGCCAUAAACUGAAGCAGAGAAAAGGGCGGUAGCUGGAGGGGAUCCGGACUUGAGAGGAUUUUUGGUUUUGUUCUGUUCUAAGAGAUAGUACAGCAUAUUUGGAUGCCGAAGAGAAUAAAAUAAAUCUGCAGAGAGGGGAAACUGGUACUGGGGGGGAAAGAAACUAUCUUGUACCAUAGUAACUGCACUAUCUCUGGAACGAUAAAUGUUCCGCAGAAAGAAUGGAUAACUGGGAGACCAGCCGGUGGGCUCACCUGUGGGCAUGGGCUCGCUCGGGGGGUCUCCCGAGGCCUUGUCAUCACUGUCAUUCUCACACAGGGCCGUGGUUCUUCCUUUCCAUUCAUUUUUAGGGAGCAGUUCUACGACUACCACGUCUCCAUGAAUUGAGCGGUUUCGAGCCUUCAUGCCGUGGAUUAGGAUGUCACUGGCCAAACCUGUGAUUGGGCGGGGACACAGAAACCCCAUGAAGCCACAGGGGAGGCCACACCCGUGACACCUUCCAAACAAGGAAGCGUUCCUGCAAAUCCAAGCUUUCUCCU
This 7667-nucleotide long non-coding RNA is filed under the name Lynx pardinus (Iberian lynx). Lineage: Eukaryota; Metazoa; Chordata; Mammalia; Carnivora; Felidae. The record is from RNAcentral.